UAUUAAUAAAUUGAGUUUUUUAAGUUUCCCGUAGUACGCCAAUUGGUGUGAAGGCACCUAACGUCAUUGAUCUUCGAAAGCAAUAAAGGAAAGAGCUAGGGAAGCCUCUUGACCAAAUGAGUACACCGAAAGAUUUUGGUCACAAUCUUCUAGUGAGCUGCAUUAUUAGUCACCUUUUGAUUGCCAUUUUAUUCUCAUGGAGUCCAAUACUCUAUUUCUCUUGUUCCAAAUAACGUACUCGAAGAGAAGGAACAAAGGAUUGCACCAGGAACCUUACCUGGAACAACGCACAUGUUGAGCUACUAAGUGGAUGUCACUCUUUGGUCGGAAGAAUUAGAGGCUUUGGAUGAUGUUACUUUGGCAGCAAAGUAAGCAAGGGAAGAGGAGAAGCUAUGAAAUCAAUGCAAAGGACUGCAGUGACAUUGUGGCAGAGAUAAGUAGUCAAGAUCCCUUGUCUAGUACUCGGCAACACCGGAAAGAUAACUCUUCUACAUAAGUUGAAGAAUAAGGUAUAUAUCUGAUAUUAACGCUGCGAUUUGGAGGUAUUUGGAUUGAGUUGAGGCACGAGGGAGGUUAAUGGAGGGGUUUAAGUGUGAAGUAGUGGAGGGAGAGAAGCCUUGUCCAAUGACGCGUCUGUGAACUGAACAUUCCAACUGCGAGUGAUGUGGGACCAACGCUGAAUUGCUUCUACGAGAUCGACAACAUUACGCUGCCUCGUAAUUCCCCCAUUCACCUCAUGACCAUUUGUGUUGUGCGGGAGGGGUGUAAGCGUGAAGUAGUGGAGGGAGAGAAGCCUUGUCCGACGAUGCGUCUGUCAACUAAACAUUCCAACUGCGAGUGAUGUGUAUCGAGUGUUCAGCGUGAGGUGGUAAUAUAUGUGCAGGGAACAACGCUAAAUUGCUUCUACGAGAUCGACCACAUUAGGCUGCCUCAUAAUUCCCCCAUUCACCUCAAGACCAUUUGUGUUGUGCAGGACCUCACCUUGUUACGCAGCAGCUCAAUUGAUUUUGAAACUUUUGGUUCAUGAAAUAAUGUAUCAAAUUUUACGGUGAAGAUGGAGGAUUGGGGUGGUAGAGCUGGGAUUUACCCUAUUAGCACUUGCUCAUGUUUGACACAAUGCCAUGCGGGAUGAAAAGAACAGUAAGUUAUGCCAGCAGUGGAGGUCUGGCUGUUCAAGCAUUUCAAGCAUAUUUUCAGCUUUGCUACAGGAGGCUUGGUUGCUUGCUGUACAGAUAGAAGAACCAGAUUGUAAAGGAUCAAAGGUAUUUGUAUACUAAUGAAUAGGGGAUUACUCAUGUAAGAUUUCCAUUGGCAAAGAUGAUGACAGCAUGUUACAAAGGAAACACCUCUCAGGCUGCAAUUGCCUCCUGGUCCAUUAUGAUGCUGAGUGGCAGCACCUUAAGGGGAGAGAAAAGGCAAAAGGAUAAAUGAAUGAUGAAUUGUUUAGAGAUGUACUAGUUGGAGAGUACUACAUGCACUAGUACAGUGAAAGCAUUCGCGAAAAUAGGAAGGAUAAACAAAAUCACCUAUGCCGCACUUGCUUUUCCUGUGGUUUAUGUCUUCUCUUUUUUUUGCCUUGUAAUUGUACGUGUGAUAUUUUAUGUUAUUAAGCAUUGUUAAACUGGGAGAGUUGCAUAUUCUUUUCUUUUUUAUUCUAUUUUUGUUAAAAACAAUUGUGGAUGUCGUGGUCAAGACUCUCUCUUUUUCUCUCUCUCUCUCUCUGUCUCUCAUGGUUCAGGCCUCUGGGCAUUUGGCCAUCUGCUAUGUUACAAUUUGAAAGUCUUUUAUAUUGUGAAAUACACAUAUAAUAUGUAUAUGGUAUCAAAACUUGUCUAUUUUCUUUUCAUUAAUGGACGUUCAUGUCGUAAAAAAUCUGAUCUCAUGUUGUAAUGUGUAGACAUGUGAACUGCAUUGCUUGGGCAAUGUAGCUGAAAUGCGUGAUAUAGUUUUC
This is a non-coding RNA of Amborella trichopoda, 1951 nucleotides long. The record is from RefSeq and is a predicted model, not a curated record. Lineage: Eukaryota; Viridiplantae; Streptophyta; Magnoliopsida; Amborellales; Amborellaceae.